RNAcentral lists this long non-coding RNA (226 nucleotides) under Lathyrus oleraceus (garden pea). RNAcentral's name for it is "Pisum sativum (pea) long non-coding RNA (PSAT_LNC025450)". Lineage: Eukaryota; Viridiplantae; Streptophyta; Magnoliopsida; Fabales; Fabaceae. The record is from RNAcentral.
UAUUUUUUGAAUAUCAAAAACUAUUUAAAAUGAAUUAAAAACAACCAGAAAAGAGAAAAUUCACAAAAAAUAUCAGAUGAUGAAAUAAAAAAUAUUAAAAAUCAAAAAUAGAAACUAGAAAUUAUUUGGAGAAGAAUGCAAUUGGUCCCAUAAUUUUUGGACCAAUAAUAAAAGAGAUAUGAAUUUUUGAAAUAAAAGGAAAUAAAGAAAAUAAAAUCAAAAAAUC